Molecule: ribosomal RNA, 750 nt
Filed under: uncultured bacterium
Lineage: Bacteria
Description: bacterial SSU rRNA
Rfam family: Bacterial small subunit ribosomal RNA
Source: RNAcentral
GAUGAACGCUGGCGGCGUGCCUAACACAUGCGAGUCGAACGGACAUUUUUUGGAAAGUUCUUCGGAACUGGAAUCUAAAUGUUAGUGGCGACGGGUGAGUAACGCGUGAGCAAUCUGCCUUUCAGAGGGGGGUAACAGCCGGAAACGGCUGCUAAUACCGCAUAAUGCAUUGGAUUCGCAUGUUUCUGAUGCCAAAGAUUUUAUCGCUGAAAGAUGAGCUCGCGUCUGAUUAGCUAGUUGGCGGGGUAACGGCCCACCAAGGCGACGAUCAGUAGCCGGACUGAGAGGUUGAACGGCCACAUUGGGACUGAGACACGGCCCAGACUCCUACGGGAGGCAGCAGUGGGGAAUAUUGCGCAAUGGGGGCAACCCUGACGCAGCAACGCCGCGUGAUUGAUGAAGGUCUUCGGAUUGUAAAAAUCUUUAAUCAGGGACGAAGAAAAUGACGGUACCUGAAGAAUAAGCUCCGGCUAACUACGUGCCAGCAGCCGCGGUAAUACGUAGGGAGCAAGCGUUAUCCGGAUUUACUGGGUGUAAAGGGCGUGUAGGCGGGCUUGCAAGUUGGAAGUGAAAUCUCGGGGCUUAACCCCGAAACUGCUUUCAAAGCUGCGAGUCUUGAGUGAUGGAGAGGCAGGCGGAAUUCCCAGCGUAGCGGUGAAAUGCGUAGAUAUUGGGAGGAACACCAGUGGCGAAGGCGGCCUGCUGGACAUUAACUGACGCUGAGGCGCGAAAGCGUGGGGAGCAAACAGG